Molecule: small nuclear RNA, 103 nt
Organism: Meleagris gallopavo (turkey)
Lineage: Eukaryota; Metazoa; Chordata; Aves; Galliformes; Phasianidae
Source: Ensembl
GUUCUCACUUCCACAGCACAUACACUAAAAUUGGAAUUACACAGAGAAAAUUAGCAUGACCCUUAUGCAAGGUUGACAAAUUUGUGAAGUGUCCAAAUUUUUU